Molecule: ribosomal RNA, 444 nt
Filed under: uncultured bacterium
Lineage: Bacteria
Description: partial 16S ribosomal RNA
Rfam family: Bacterial small subunit ribosomal RNA
Source: RNAcentral
CUACGGGCGGCAGCAGUGGGGAAUAUUGCACAAUGGGCGCAAGCCUGAUGCAGCAACGCCGCGUGAGGGAUGAAGGCCUUCGGGUUGUAAACCUCUUUUAGCAGGGAAGAAGCGAAAGUGACGGUACCUGCAGAAAAAGCACCGGCUAACUACGUGCCAGCAGCCGCGGUAAUACGUAGGGUGCAAGCGUUGUCCGGAAUUAUUGGGCGUAAAGAGCUCGUAGGCGGUUUGUCACGUCUGCUGUGAAAAUCCAAGGCUCAACCUUGGACUUGCAGUGGGUACGGGCAGGCUAGAGUGCGGUAGGGGAGAUGGGAAUUCCUGGUGUAGCGGUGGAAUGCGCAGAUAUCAGGAGGAACACCAAUGGCGAAGGCACAUCUCUGGGCCGUAACUGACGCUGAGGAGCGAAAGCGUGGGGAGCAAAUAGGAUUAGAUACCCCUGUAGUC